This 17-nucleotide small RNA is filed under the name Arabidopsis thaliana (thale cress). RNAcentral describes it as "ATSL050270". Lineage: Eukaryota; Viridiplantae; Streptophyta; Magnoliopsida; Brassicales; Brassicaceae. The record is from RNAcentral.
AAGAGAGACAAAUAAAA